Molecule: transfer RNA, 30 nt
Filed under: Craterocephalus honoriae (estuarine hardyhead)
Lineage: Eukaryota; Metazoa; Chordata; Actinopteri; Atheriniformes; Atherinidae
Description: partial tRNA-Val
Source: RNAcentral
AAGUCACCCGUGCAAAUCGGGUCGCUCUGA